AGUGAACGCUGGCGGUAGGCCUAACACAUGCAAGUCGAACGGCAGCACAGUAAGAGCUUGCUCUUACGGGUGGCGAGUGGCGGACGGGUGAGGAAUACAUCGGAAUCUACUUUUUCGUGGGGGAUAACGUAGGGAAACUGACGCUAAUACCGCAUACGACCUACGGGUGAAAGCAGGGGAUCUGCGGACCUUUCGCGAUGGAAUGAGCCGAUGUCGGAUUAGCUAGUUGGCGGGGUAAAGGCCCACCAAGGCGACGAUCCGUAGCUGGUCUGAGAGGAUGAUCAGCCACACUGGAACUGAGACACGGUCCAGAAUACUACGGGAGGCAGCAGUGGGGAAUAUUGGACAAUGGGCGCAAGACUGAUCCAGCCAUAACGCGUGGGUGAAGAAGGCCUUCGGGUUGUAAAGCCCUUUUGUUGGGAAAGAAAAGCAGCAGGUUAAUACCCCGCUGUUCUGACGGUACCCAAAGAAUAAGCACCGGCUAACUUCGUG
This 492-nucleotide ribosomal RNA is filed under the name uncultured bacterium. RNAcentral's name for it is "partial 16S ribosomal RNA". It matches the Rfam family "Bacterial small subunit ribosomal RNA", at positions 29 to 507 of the family's 1533-position model. The record is from RNAcentral.